AUUGAACGCUGGCGGUAUGCUUUACACAUGCAAGUCGAACGGUAACAGGUCUUCGGAUGCUGACGAGUGGCGAACGGGUGAGUAAUGUAUCGGAACGUGCCUAGUAAUGGGGGAUAACCACUCGAAAGAGUGACUAAUACCGCAUAAUAUCUCAGGAUGAAAGCGGGGGACCGUAAGGCCUCGCGUUAUUAGAGCGGCCGAUAUCAGAUUAGGUAGUUGGUGGGAUAAAAGCCUACCAAGCCAACGAUCUGUAGCUGGUCUGAGAGGACGACCAGCCACACUGGGACUGAGACACGGCCCAGACUCCUACGGGAGGCAGCAGUGGGGAAUUUUGGACAAUGGGCGAAAGCCUGAUCCAGCAAUACCGCGUGCGGGAUGAAGGCCCUACGGGUUGUAAAACCCUUUCGUGCGGAAAGAAUAGUCCUGUAGCGAAUAACUACGGGAUUUGACGGUACCGCAGGAAGAAGCACCGGCUAACUCCGUG
RNAcentral lists this ribosomal RNA (484 nucleotides) under uncultured bacterium. Its description in RNAcentral is "bacterial SSU rRNA". It matches the Rfam family "Bacterial small subunit ribosomal RNA", at positions 30 to 507 of the family's 1533-position model. The record is from RNAcentral.